UAAGCUCUGUCGCCGGGACGAAAUUCUAUGAGUGAAUAGCUCAUAGAACUGACGGUACCGGGAGAGGAAGCACCGGCUAACUCCGUGC
This 88-nucleotide ribosomal RNA is filed under the name uncultured bacterium. RNAcentral's name for it is "partial 16S ribosomal RNA". The record is from RNAcentral.